RNAcentral lists this unclassified non-coding RNA (248 nucleotides) under Hevea brasiliensis (rubber tree). The record is from RNAcentral. Lineage: Eukaryota; Viridiplantae; Streptophyta; Magnoliopsida; Malpighiales; Euphorbiaceae.
GUUCACAUAAAAGAAAACUAAUCAAGAGAUUGGAAGUGAGACUAAAUAUAAAAAGAAAGUAAUAAUAAGUGUUAGAUAUAUUAAUGUUCAUUUUGAAACUUAAUCUUUUAAAAGUUCAAAAUCUUAAUAGAAAAGGAAGAGAGGAAGAAAGAUAUGCUUCAUGUUUCAAAUCACACCAACACCAACAGUAUGUAAUUUUAAUUUCUUUAGUAAUUUAAUAUAGAUAAAAUAGUUUACAAUAAUUUUUA